GCCCACGCAAAUUUGAAAACCCGCAAUUGCUUUAGGCGCGUUAGUUAAAAAUUUACCUUCCUAAAUUUGGGUGCGCAUUUAUGUGACCUAAAUCUAAAUCUCAACAAUAUUAAAAUAUAUCAAAGACCGCGGGUGCAUUUAUGUGGUCCAAGACACAUUUUAACAACGUUGAAAUCUUCUUAAAAUUAAAUAAAAACGGUUAAAAAGUUAAAAUUUGCAUAUAGUAUCAAAAUGUAUUAAUAUCAGAUAAUUAAGACGAAUAUAACAGUUGAGUGACCGUGCUAGAACCAUGGAAUUCGGGAAUGCCUAGCACCUUCUCCCGGGUUAACAAAAUUCCUUACCUGGAUUUCUAGCUCGCGAAAUGUAUUAUAGAGUCAAACUUUCCUCGAUUAGGGAUUUUAAAAUGGUGACUUGGGACACAAUUAAUUAUCCAAGUGGCGACUCUGGAAUCUUUAAAUAGAUAAAUCCCGUUUUUAUUGUCCUUUAAUGUGAAAAAAUCCCUUAUCUACACCCUUCCCGGGAUGUAAUGAAAAAAGGGAAGUGUGACAGCUCUAGCGACUCUGCUGGGGACCGAACCCAGAAUCUCUAUUUCAGGGUUCAAGAAUUCGAGCUUAGAUAAUUGUUGUAUUUGGCUUUGUUUAUUAUCAAAAUUUAUUACAUGUUUGGGGUUGAUGUGCUAAAUGUUGCUUUUACCUCUUUGAUAUUAUUUGAAUUGUUUGUAUGAACUGCUAUGAAAUCCCUCUCCUGUGUUCGGAGAUGUGCUCGCUGGUCGAGACUCCCUAUUCAAUUAGUGUCAUACCUUGGAAUAAGACAGAGGCUCGGACAAGUUACAAAGUCGGAUGGAUUUUGGUUCUCGGUACGUAGCCCCCUCCUUGACUUUAUUUGUCCGCUCGGGUACACAAUCUAUAAUAUAUACCCAGGUUUUGAACCUAGAAUAACUUAACCUCAUGUCGUGUCCUUAGUAGGAAUGGCUAUUUGCAUCAUUCAUUUGACUUAGGG
This 999-nucleotide long non-coding RNA is filed under the name Nicotiana benthamiana. RNAcentral describes it as "long non-coding RNA (NBEN_LNC042385)". Lineage: Eukaryota; Viridiplantae; Streptophyta; Magnoliopsida; Solanales; Solanaceae. The record is from RNAcentral.